This 431-nucleotide ribosomal RNA is filed under the name uncultured bacterium. Its description in RNAcentral is "bacterial SSU rRNA". It matches the Rfam family "Bacterial small subunit ribosomal RNA", at positions 29 to 506 of the family's 1533-position model. The record is from RNAcentral.
GCGAACGCUGGCGGCAGGCCUAAAACAUGCAAGUCGAACGCCGUAGCAAUACGGAGUGGCAGACGGGUGAGUAACACGUGGGAACGUGCCUUUUGGUUCGGAACAACACAGGGAAACUUGUGCUAAUACCGGAUAAGCCCUUCGGGGGAAAGAUUUAUCGCCAAAAGAUCGGCCCGCGUCUGAUUAGCUAGUUGGUGGGGUAACGGCCCACCAAGGCUACGAUCAGUAGCUGGUCUGAGAGGAUGAUCAGCCACACUGGGACUGAGACACGGCCCAGACUCCUACGGGAGGCAGCAGUUAGGAAUCUUGGACAAUGGGCGCAAGCCUGAUCCAGCCAUGCCGCGUGAGUGAUGAAGGCCUUAGGGUUGUAAAGCUCUUUCAGCGGGGAAGAUAAUGACGGUACCAGCAGAAGAAGCCCCGGCUAACUUCGU